GAUGAACGCUGGCGGCGUGCCUAACACAUGCAAGUUGAACGAAGCACUUACGACGGAAUCCUCCGGGAGGAAGAUGUAAGCGACUUAGUGGCGGACGGGUGAGUAACGCGUGGGUAACCUGCCCUGUACAGGGGGACAACAGCCGGAAACAGCUGCUAAUACCCCAUAAGCGCACGGUAUCGCAUGAUACAGUGUGAAAAGCCGAGACGGUACAGGAUGGACCCGCGUCUGAUUAGAUAGUUGGUGGGGUAACGGCCUACCAAGUCAGCGAUCAGUAGCCGGCCUGAGAGGGUGAACGGCCACAUUGGAACUGAGACACGGUCCAAACUCCUACGGGAGGCAGCAGUGGGGAAUAUUGCACAAUGGGGGAAACCCUGAUGCAGCGACGCCGCGUGAAGGAAGAAGUAUUUCGGUAUGUAAACUUCUAUCAGCAGGGAAGAAAAUGACGGUACCUGACUAAGAA
RNAcentral lists this ribosomal RNA (463 nucleotides) under uncultured bacterium. RNAcentral describes it as "bacterial SSU rRNA". It matches the Rfam family "Bacterial small subunit ribosomal RNA", at positions 28 to 489 of the family's 1533-position model. The record is from RNAcentral.